AGCUCCGUUGUAGUCCAGCCUUAACUUUCGUGAUGAACAUUUAAUUUGUGAUGUCAUUUUGUAACACACGUUAAAAUUCUCGCCUAGUUGCUAGCGUGGCACGUCCUCAUACUGUGCUUCUGACUGGCUAGCAGUACUUACCUAGGUACUGAUAUGUGCA
Molecule: long non-coding RNA, 160 nt
Organism: Etheostoma cragini (Arkansas darter)
Lineage: Eukaryota; Metazoa; Chordata; Actinopteri; Perciformes; Percidae
Exons: 4
Source: RefSeq, a predicted model, not a curated record